This 299-nucleotide ribosomal RNA is filed under the name uncultured bacterium. RNAcentral describes it as "partial 16S ribosomal RNA". It matches the Rfam family "Bacterial small subunit ribosomal RNA", at positions 789 to 1084 of the family's 1533-position model. The record is from RNAcentral.
GGUAGUCCACGCCGUAAACGAUGGAUGCUAGCUGUUGGGCGUAUCGACCCGCUCGGUAGCGAAGCUAACGCGUUAAGCAUCCCGCCUGGGGAGUACGAGCGCAAAGCUUAAAACUCAAAGGAAUUGACGGGGACCCGCACAAGCGGUGGAGCGUGUGGUUUAAUUCGAUGCUACGCGAAGAACCUUACCAAGGCUUGACAUCCUAGGAAGGCCCUAGAAAUAGGGGCUGUGCCUUCGGGAGCCUAGUGACAGGUGAUGCAUGGCUGUCGUCAGCUCGUGUCGUGAGAUGUUAGGUUAAG